RNAcentral lists this non-coding RNA (112 nucleotides) under Heterosigma akashiwo. The record is from RNAcentral. Lineage: Eukaryota; Raphidophyceae; Chattonellales; Chattonellaceae.
UCCUACGGGGAUGUGACCCACGCCCGGCAAAUCACGGAGGACGGGCUCUACUACGGAGGGGAUCUGAAGAGUGCGGCGCACAAAGUCACCGAGGGGACCGGCACGGGCUUCA